AGCAGUCGCCGCGGUAAUACGAAGGGUGCAAGCGUUACUCGGAAUUACCGGGCGUAAAGCGUGCGUAGGUGGUGGUUUAAGUCCGUUGUGAAAGCCCUGGGCUCAACCUGGGAAUUGCAGUGGAUACUGGGUCACUAGAGUGUGGUAGAGGAUAGUGGAAUUUCCGGUGUAGCAGUGAAAUGCGUAGAGAUCGGAAGGAACAUCUGUGGCGAAGGCGACUAUCUGGGCCAACACUGACACUGAGGCACGAAAGCGUGGGGAGCAAACAGGAUUAGAUACCCGAGUAGUCCCUGUCUCUUAUAC
RNAcentral lists this ribosomal RNA (303 nucleotides) under uncultured bacterium. Its description in RNAcentral is "partial 16S ribosomal RNA". It matches the Rfam family "Bacterial small subunit ribosomal RNA", at positions 507 to 807 of the family's 1533-position model. The record is from RNAcentral.